UACGUAGGGGGCGAGCGUUAUCCGGAGUUACUGGGCGUAAAGCGUCCGCAGGCGGUCUCUUAAGUUUGAACUGACAGUUCCUGGCUUAACCGGGGAAGUGGUUCGAAAACUGGGAGACUUGAGGGUCCGAGAGGAAGAUGGAAUUCCAGGUGAAGCGGUGAAAUGCGUAGAUAUCUGGAGGAACACCAAAGGCGAAGGCAGUCUUCUGGAGGAAACCUGACGCUCAGGGACGAAAGCUAGGGGAGCGAACGGG
Molecule: ribosomal RNA, 253 nt
Filed under: uncultured bacterium
Lineage: Bacteria
Description: partial 16S ribosomal RNA
Rfam family: Bacterial small subunit ribosomal RNA
Source: RNAcentral